Molecule: ribosomal RNA, 584 nt
Filed under: uncultured bacterium
Lineage: Bacteria
Description: partial 16S ribosomal RNA
Rfam family: Bacterial small subunit ribosomal RNA
Source: RNAcentral
UGGGGAAUUUUGGACAAUGGGCGAAAGCCUGAUCCAGCAAUGCCGCGUGUGUGAAGAAGGCCUUCGGGUUGUAAAGCACUUUUGUCCGGAAAGAAAUCCUUGGCUCUAAUACAGUCGGGGGAUGACGGUACCGGAAGAAUAAGCACCGGCUAACUACGUGCCAGCAGCCGCGGUAAUACGUAGGGUGCAAGCGUUAAUCGGAAUUACUGGGCGUAAAGCGUGCGCAGGCGGUUUGCUAAGACCGAUGUGAAAUCCCCGGGCUCAACCUGGGAACUGCAUUGGUGACUGGCAGGCUAGAGUAUGGCAGAGGGGGGUAGAAUUCCACGUGUAGCAGUGAAAUGCGUAGAGAUGUGGAGGAAUACCGAUGGCGAAGGCAGCCCCCUGGGCCAAUACUGACGCUCAUGCACGAAAAGCGUGGGGAGCAAACAGGAUUAGAUACCCUGGUAGUCCACGCCCUAAACGAUGUCAACUAGUUGUUGGGGAUUCAUUUCCUUAGUAACGUAGCUAACGCGUGAAGUUGACCGCCUGGGGAGUACGGUCGCAAGAUUAAAACUCAAGGAAUUGACGGGGUCAUAGCUGUUUCC